RNAcentral lists this ribosomal RNA (465 nucleotides) under Vreelandella stevensii. RNAcentral's name for it is "partial 16S ribosomal RNA". It matches the Rfam family "Bacterial small subunit ribosomal RNA", at positions 338 to 795 of the family's 1533-position model. Lineage: Bacteria; Pseudomonadati; Pseudomonadota; Gammaproteobacteria; Oceanospirillales; Halomonadaceae. The record is from RNAcentral.
CCUACGGGCGGCAGCAGUGGGGAAUAUUGGACAAUGGGCGAAAGCCUGAUCCAGCCAUGCCGCGUGUGUGAAGAAGGCCUUCGGGUUGUAAAGCACUUUCAGUGGGGAAGAAAGCCUUGGGGCUAAUACCCUCGAGGAAGGACAUCACCCACAGAAGAAGCACCGGCUAACUCCGUGCCAGCAGCCGCGGUAAUACGGAGGGUGCGAGCGUUAAUCGGAAUUACUGGGCGUAAAGCGCGCGUAGGCGGUCUGAUAAGCCGGUUGUGAAAGCCCCGGGCUCAACCUGGGAACGGCAUCCGGAACUGUCAGGCUAGAGUGCAGGAGAGGAAGGUAGAAUUCCCGGUGUAGCGGUGAAAUGCGUAGAGAUCGGGAGGAAUAUCAGUGGCGAAGGCGGCCUUCUGGACUGACACUGACGCUGAGGUGCGAAAGCGUGGGUAGCAAACAGGAUUAGAUACCCGAGUAGUC